CUCACUGCAGGUCCUCCAGUGGUCUAUGAGUACCUGACUACUAUCGAGCUGCAAACCACAAAUGUUACAGUGAUAGAGGAACUGAGGAUUAUCCUGGAUAACAUCAGCUACCCCUUCCCCAUCGACAGCAACAUACUGAUCUCGGAGGUCAACAUCACCACAGUUUGCUCUCCAUUCGGGGCUAGGUUCCAAUGCACAUGUGAGGAUCCGUAUCGCUGGCCAUGUGACAAGUGUCUUCUGCAUGGGUCAUGUGACAACAUCACUGAUGAGACGUGUGGAUGCAUCAAUGCCCUUCCUCCUGAUGAAGAAUACUGCCAGCUCUCCCAACUCAUCAAUACAACUUGUCCUAUCACAACUUCUGCACCUCCGUCCACCACUUCUACACCUCCAUCUACCACUUCUCCAACUCCAUCUACCACUUCUCCACCUCCAUCAACCACUUCUCCAACUCCAUCCACCACUUCUCCAACUCCAUCAACAAGUCCUCCAGUGGUCUAUGAGUACCUGACUACUAUCGAGCUGCAAACCACAAAUGUUACAGUGAUAGAGGAACUGAGGAGCAUCCUGGAUAACAUCAGCUACCCCUUCCCCCUCGACAGCAACAUACUGAUCUCUGAGGUCAACAUCACCACAGUUUGCUCUCCAUUCGGGGCUGGGUUCCAAUGCACAUGUGAGGAUCCGUAUCGCUGGCCAUGUGACAAGUGUCUUCUGCAUGGGUCAUGUGACAACAUCACUGAUGAGACGUGUGGAUGCAUCAAUGCCCUUCCUCCUGAUGAAGAAUACUGCCAGCUCUCCCAACUAAGUACGUUCUCAUAUCUGGUCACAGUUGACAUAAAACUGUGGAUACAGCCAAGAAUCUGAAGCUGUGACACUCUACAAGGCCUCAAUUCUCCUGAGUCCUUAAUGUAAGAGUAUUGACCCAUACUGGGAUUGAUCAAACAAUAGACAUGGUUAAAUCGCUAACUCUAAGGACUCCCUCCCAUUUUUAGAAGUCAUUAUUUUAGAAGAACUUUAUAAUGUGUUAUGGUGAUUUGCUUCUUAAUGUCAGCAGGUUAUGAGGUGAAUAACUUUGUGUUAAACUUUUAUGUAAACUAUGAACUUGACUUUUGUCUCCAAUCAGUCAAUACAACUUGUCCUAUCACAACUUCUGCACCUCCGUCCACAACUUCUCCACCUCCAUCUACCACUUCUCCA
Long non-coding RNA from Gadus chalcogrammus (walleye pollock), 1194 nucleotides. RefSeq lists it as uncharacterized. The record is from RefSeq and is a predicted model, not a curated record. NCBI's taxonomy places the organism in Eukaryota, Metazoa, Chordata, Actinopteri, Gadiformes, Gadidae. The transcript is spliced from 5 exons.